This 744-nucleotide long non-coding RNA is filed under the name Musa acuminata (dwarf banana). RNAcentral describes it as "long non-coding RNA (MACU_LNC008181)". Lineage: Eukaryota; Viridiplantae; Streptophyta; Magnoliopsida; Zingiberales; Musaceae. The record is from RNAcentral.
UUUGUUCCUUGCAUCGUAUUGUCUCGAAAAGGCACAUAUACGUUUUGUUGUUCCGCGUGUGCUUCCGAUAUAUGCUACUUAUUGUUAAAACUACCUUCUUGUACUCUAGUGUUCGUGGGAUUGUCUGGACCUUUGCCAGAAAUGGUAAAGGGUAUGUGCUUAGAGCCUGCGAUGCUCUGCCGGCCCCCUCUGACUUCACCUAGAUGUGGGUGGAUGGAGCUCCCAAACGUGGGAGACUUCUGUCUGGUGGUCAUUCAGAAAUGGAUGAAUCACAAUUCUGUUUGAGAUCCCACUACACCUUCUGUAUGUGUGAUAUGAUAUCCAGAGCUUUGGUUAUGUGUUUUUGUACAUGCUUUGGAUAAGAAUGAUAUGAAUGCAACGUCAAAGACGACGUUUGAGCUUCUGUUUGGUAUGUGAUAUUGAUAAGCUCCGAAAUGUUUCAUUCAUUGUUGAUAUGCUUCGAAAUGUUCCAUACGUUGUUGAUAUGCUCCGGAACAUUUCAUAUGCCAUUGAUAAGCUCCGAUAUGUUUCAUUUGUUAUUGUUAUGCUCCAAAACAUUUCAUUCGUUUCUGAUAUGCUCCAAUUACUCUAUGCCCCGUAUGUUAUGAACCAAAUAUGUAUGAUUGAAAGGACAAUAGUGAUUCUGCACCUAAUGAUAUUAUUUCUACGAAUUCGUAUUUUCUGCCUCGUAUUGUGAAACUUUAUCUCUUUGGAAAUUGUCCUAUUUUGAUAUGGAUAUGUUAG